Podarcis lilfordi (Lilford's wall lizard) is the source of this 69-nucleotide non-coding RNA. The record is from the annotation of a GenBank genome assembly. Lineage: Eukaryota; Metazoa; Chordata; Lepidosauria; Squamata; Lacertidae.
GCAUCUCUAUGUGUGUAGAGCAUGAGACUAUCAAUCUCAGGGUUGUGGGUUUGAGUCCCACAUUGGGCA